Molecule: ribosomal RNA, 410 nt
Filed under: uncultured Gammaproteobacteria bacterium
Lineage: Bacteria; Pseudomonadati; Pseudomonadota; Gammaproteobacteria
Description: bacterial SSU rRNA
Rfam family: Bacterial small subunit ribosomal RNA
Source: RNAcentral
AAUGGGCGCAAGCCUGAUCCAGCCAUCCCGCGUGCAGGAUGACGGCCUAUGGGUUGUAAACUGCUUUUAGAAGGGACGAACUUUGGGAUUUAUCCCGAACUGACGGUACCUUCAGAAUAAGCACCGGCUAACUCCGUGCCAGCAGCCGCGGUAAUACGGAGGGUGCAAGCGUUAUCCGGAAUCACUGGGUUUAAAGGGUGCGUAGGCGGCAUUGUAAGUCAGAUGUGAAAGCCCACCGCUUAACGGUGGAACUGCAUUUGAUACUGCAAAGCUUGAAUCAGGCUGAGGUCAGCGGAAUGUGUCAUGUAGCGGUGAAAUGCAUAGAUAUGACAUAGAACACCAAUUGCGAAGGCAGCUGGCUAGACCUGUAUUGACGCUGAGGCACGAAAGCGUGGGGAGCGAACAGGAUU